AGAGGUUCUACCAUCAUCUGGAUCCCACACUGACUGCAGCUUUCCGCUUCACCACCCCUAUGAUCAGCGGAUAGACUGUACACAUCUCAACCCUAAGGGAGGAGAUUCAAGUUCUCCUUGGAGGCUCUCCGCAGCUGUGCAAAUCUACACGUGCAUUAGAAUUGUAUUGAGAAGAUGACAACAUAAACUCUGCAGAAACAAAGGCUCUGGAUUUUGGUCACUUGGGCUCUGGGGCCAUCAGAUACAUAUACUAGUAUGUACUUCUAACAACAAUCCUCUUUGUUUAAAGUGUGAAACUGCUAUUCACUAAUAUCUUGGUGCCAUUCCCAGAAAGCAUGCUUCAUGUAAUUGGCAAGUUUUUACAAGGCUGUUUGCUAUUUGCAGCCUUCAUAUUGUGGUGCUUGGCUGAUUUUCUCAACUCUUCUUGUCCUGUC
This 434-nucleotide long non-coding RNA is filed under the name Equus caballus (horse). Its description in RNAcentral is "lncRNA (ENSECAG00000058633.1)". The record is from RNAcentral. Lineage: Eukaryota; Metazoa; Chordata; Mammalia; Perissodactyla; Equidae.